Molecule: ribosomal RNA, 460 nt
Filed under: uncultured bacterium
Lineage: Bacteria
Description: partial 16S ribosomal RNA
Rfam family: Bacterial small subunit ribosomal RNA
Source: RNAcentral
CCUACGGGCGGCAGCAGUGAGGAAUAUUGGUCAAUGGGCGCAAGCCUGAACCAGCCAAGUCGCGUGAGGGAUGACGGUCCUAUGGAUUGUAAACCUCUUUUGUCGGGGAGCAAGGCCCGCCACGUGUGGCGGGAAGGAGAGUACCCGAAGAAAAAGCAUCGGCUAACUCCGUGCCAGCAGCCGCGGUAAUACGGAGGAUGCGAGCGUUAUCCGGAUUUAUUGGGUUUAAAGGGUGCGUAGGCGGAAGGUUAAGUCAGCGGUCAAAUGUCGGUGCUCAACACCGGCCUGCCGUUGAAACUGGUCGUCUUGAGUGAGCGAGAGGUAUGCGGAAUGCGUGGUGUAGCGGUGAAAUGCAUAGAUAUCACGCAGAACUCCGAUUGCGAAGGCAGCAUACCGGCGCUCAACUGACGCUGAGGCACGAAGGCCAGGGGAGCGAAAGGGAUUAGAUACCCUGGUAGUC